UCAUACCUUUCCUUCCAAUUACUGAGAAUUGAAUUCUAUCAAAAGAGUGGCCAUUGAGUUCAACAAUAAAUUGUGUUACUGAAAUCUCAAAGAUUCGUCUAUUCCCCUUUCUAUCAGGUGGAGAACUUGAAAACCAUGAUUCAAAUGAGGAAGAAGAAGAAGAAGAACUAACCAUCGCUAGCAGCAGGAGGUUGGGCCGGAGCCAGAGAUUGAGCAGAAGCAGGGAGAAGCAUAGCCAAAACAAAAACAACACCAAAUAAAACGCCAAAGGGGAUCUUAUUAGCAACGACCGCCAUUGUUAAAGGAAGAAGAAGCUUCUAGGUGAAAAAACAAGAUAAUUUGAAAUGGAAGAACGAAAUCUCUCUCUGCAACGUCUCUCAGAAAUGUAAGAAGUUGAGACGAAACCUCCUGCAGGGGCUCCGGAGAGCCGCAGCAGAGAGAGAUUAAAUAGGCCGAGUUGAUGAUUUGAAGCUGUCAAAAGGGAGGGGUGGUUGAGGGCCACCGGCCAGUUGACAGUUCCGGAGACAGCGACGACGGCGUGGCAAUGGCGGUGUGGCUCUCAAUCAAAUGAGGCUCUGGAUUUUAUAGCGCCCAUUUGGUCUCCAGGCCUUAACGUUGCAACUGCAAUGGCGUGUGAAUCUCUGGUUUCAAAGUUUCUUUUUUGGGGGGUUUGUUUGAAAUGGUCUAUGGGCUUCAUUUGGAUUCU
Molecule: long non-coding RNA, 706 nt
Organism: Cucurbita maxima (winter squash)
Lineage: Eukaryota; Viridiplantae; Streptophyta; Magnoliopsida; Cucurbitales; Cucurbitaceae
Exons: 2
Source: RefSeq, a predicted model, not a curated record